AGCUUUGUGCAGUGGCAGUAUCGUAGCCAAUGAGGUUUAUCUGAGAUGUGAUUAUUGCUAAUUGAAAACUUUUCCCAAUACCCCACCGUGAGGACUUGCAAUAUUAAAAGAAAG
RNAcentral lists this small nuclear RNA (114 nucleotides) under Sciurus vulgaris (Eurasian red squirrel). RNAcentral describes it as "U4 spliceosomal RNA (ENSSVLG00005000216.1)". It matches the Rfam family "U4 spliceosomal RNA". From Rfam's summary of the family: U4 small nuclear RNA (U4 snRNA) is a component of the major U2-dependent spliceosome. The structure of U4 snRNA from yeast and human has been reported. Lineage: Eukaryota; Metazoa; Chordata; Mammalia; Rodentia; Sciuridae. The record is from Rfam by way of RNAcentral.